UACGAAAGGUGCAAGCGUUACUCGGAAUCACUGGGCGUAAAGCGCACGUAGGCGGACUCGCAGGCCAAUUGUGAAAUACCUGGGCUCAACCCGGGAACUGCAGUUGAAACCGCUUGUCUUGAAUACCUGAGAGGGUGGGGGAAUACCUGGUGGAGAAGUGAAAUUCGUAGAGAUCAGGUGGAACACCGGAGGCGAAGGCGCCUGCCUGGCAGUGUAUUGACGCUGAGGUGCGAAAGUGCGGGGAGCAAACAGG
Molecule: ribosomal RNA, 253 nt
Filed under: uncultured bacterium
Lineage: Bacteria
Description: partial 16S ribosomal RNA
Rfam family: Bacterial small subunit ribosomal RNA
Source: RNAcentral